RNAcentral lists this unclassified non-coding RNA (253 nucleotides) under uncultured Pirellulaceae bacterium. RNAcentral describes it as "contains 16S-23S intergenic spacer region". It matches the Rfam family "Bacterial small subunit ribosomal RNA", at positions 524 to 776 of the family's 1533-position model. Lineage: Bacteria; Pseudomonadati; Planctomycetota; Planctomycetia; Pirellulales; Pirellulaceae. The record is from RNAcentral.
GACGAACCGUCCAAACGUUAUUCGGAAUUAUUGGGCUUAAAGGGUGCGUAGGCGGUGCAGUAAGUCGGGUGUGAAAUCCCUCAGCUCAACUGAGGAACUGCGCCCGAUACUGCUGUGCUUGAGGGAGAUAGAGGUGAGCGGAACUGAUGGUGGAGCGGUGAAAUGCGUUGAUAUCAUCAGGAACACCUGUGGCGAAAGCGGCUCACUGGAUCUUUUCUGACGCUGAGGCACGAAAGCUAGGGGAGCGAACAGG